RNAcentral lists this transfer RNA (72 nucleotides) under Lepeophtheirus salmonis (salmon louse). RNAcentral's name for it is "transfer RNA glutamine (anticodon CUG)". It matches the Rfam family "tRNA". Rfam says of the family: Transfer RNA (tRNA) molecules are approximately 80 nucleotides in length. The record is from RNAcentral. Lineage: Eukaryota; Metazoa; Arthropoda; Copepoda; Siphonostomatoida; Caligidae.
GGCCCCAUGGUGUAAUGGUUAGCACUUUGGACUCUGAAUCCAGUGAUCCGAGUUCAAAUCUCGGUGGGACCU